RNAcentral lists this small RNA (929 nucleotides) under Scopulariopsis candida. RNAcentral describes it as "eukaryotic LSU rRNA". It matches the Rfam family "Eukaryotic large subunit ribosomal RNA", at positions 23 to 978 of the family's 3401-position model. Lineage: Eukaryota; Fungi; Ascomycota; Sordariomycetes; Microascales; Microascaceae. The record is from RNAcentral.
ACCCGCUGAACUUAAGCAUAUCAAUAAGCGGAGGAAAAGAAACCAACAGGGAUUGCCCCAGUAACGGCGAGUGAAGCGGCAACAGCUCAAAUUUGAAAUCUGGUCCCCUUUGGGGGCCCGAGUUGUAAUUUGAAGAGGAUGCUUUUGGCGAGGCGCCGUCCGAGUUCCCUGGAACGGGACGCCGCAGAGGGUGAGAGCCCCGUACGGUCGGACGCCGAGCCUCUGUAAAGCUCCUUCGACGAGUCGAGUAGUUUGGGAAUGCUGCUCAAAAUGGGAGGUAAACCCCUUCUAAAGCUAAAUACCGGCCAGAGACCGAUAGCGCACAAGUAGAGUGAUCGAAAGAUGAAAAGCACUUUGAAAAGAGAGUUAAAAAGCACGUGAAAUUGUUAAAAGGGAAGCGCUUGCGACCAGACUUGCGCCCGUCGGAUCAACCGUCGCUUGCGGCGGCGCACUCCGGCGGGCUCAGGCCAGCAUCAGUUCGCCUGGGGGGAGAAAGGCGGCGGGAAUGUGGCUCUUCGGAGUGUUAUAGCCCGCCGUGUAAUACCCUCGGGUGGACUGAGGACCGCGCGUAUGCAAGGAUGCUGGCGUAAUGGUCGUCAGCGACCCGUCUUGAAACACGGACCAAGGAGUCGUCCUAAUAUGCGAGUGUACGGGUGUCAAACCCCUGCGCGUAAUGAAAGUGAACGGAGGUGAGAGCUUCGGCGCAUCAUCGACCGAUCCUGAUGUUAUCGGAUGGAUUUGAGUAAGAGCAUAUUGGGCCGGACCCGAAAGAAGGUGAACUAUGCCUGUGUAGGGUAAAGCCAGAGGAAACUCUGGUGGAGGCUCGCAGCGGUUCUGACGUGCAAAUCGAUCGUCAAACAUGGGCAUGGGGGCGAAAGACUAAUCGAACCUUCUAGUAGCUGGUUUCCGCCGAAGUUYCCCCUYCAGGA